GUAGUGAUACAUGAUGGAAUUCGCAAAGAAAAGAUAUGCCCAGUCAAAGACUGCUUUUUUAGCACAUCAAGCAACAAAGAUUUGAAUCGCCAUAUUCGCAAACAUACAGGUGAGAAACCCUAUAGAUGUGAUGAGUGUGGCACAUGCUUUUCUCGUGGUGACAAGCUUAAAGUCCACCGAAGGAUCCACACAAAUUCAAGACCAUAUUUAUGUGAUGAACCUGGAUGCCAGUAUAGAGCAAUUGACUCAGGCAGUCUACGGAAACACAAGAGAACACAUACCAAUGAACGUCCAUACAGAUGUCAGCUAUGUUCUUAUAGUGCUAGGGAUGGAUCUCAGCUAACUGUGCAUCUCAGAACCCAUACAGGU
Long non-coding RNA from Penaeus monodon (black tiger shrimp), 369 nucleotides. RefSeq lists it as uncharacterized. The transcript has 3 exons. NCBI's taxonomy places the organism in Eukaryota, Metazoa, Arthropoda, Malacostraca, Decapoda, Penaeidae. The record is from RefSeq and is a predicted model, not a curated record.